MicroRNA precursor from Gossypium raimondii (Peruvian cotton), 87 nucleotides. It matches the Rfam family "MIR7486 microRNA precursor family". The record is from Rfam. Lineage: Eukaryota; Viridiplantae; Streptophyta; Magnoliopsida; Malvales; Malvaceae.
CUCAAGUAAACGCUUUGUCCACGUGGACAGAAAACGCUUCCUUGAGGGCACGCUUUGUGUCCACGUGGACAAAGCGCUUCCGUGAGG